UACGAAGGGGGCUAGCGUUGUUCGGAAUAACUGGGCAUAAAGCGCACGUAGGCGGAUUUGCAAGUCAGGGGUGAAAUCCCGGGGCUCAACCUCGGAACUGCCUUUGAAACUGCGAAUCUGGAAUCUCAGAGGGGAUAGCGGAAUUCCAAAUGUAGGGGUGAAAUCCGUAGAUAUUUGGAGGAACACCGGUGGCGAAGGCGGCUAUCUGGAUGAGUAUUGACGCUGAGGUGCGAAAGCGUGGGGAUCAAACAGG
RNAcentral lists this ribosomal RNA (253 nucleotides) under uncultured bacterium. RNAcentral describes it as "partial 16S ribosomal RNA". It matches the Rfam family "Bacterial small subunit ribosomal RNA", at positions 524 to 776 of the family's 1533-position model. The record is from RNAcentral.